GGGCGGUUAGCUCAGGGGUAGAGCACUGCCUUCACACGGCAGGGGUCACUGGUUCGAUCCCAGUACCGCCCACCA
Molecule: transfer RNA, 75 nt
Filed under: Azoarcus sp.
Lineage: Bacteria; Pseudomonadati; Pseudomonadota; Betaproteobacteria; Rhodocyclales; Zoogloeaceae
Also listed under: 7 other names
Description: tRNA-Val
Rfam family: tRNA
About the family: Transfer RNA (tRNA) molecules are approximately 80 nucleotides in length. Their secondary structure includes four short double-helical elements and three loops (D, anti-codon, and T loops). Further hydrogen bonds mediate the characteristic L-shaped molecular structure. tRNAs have two regions of fundamental functional importance: the anti-codon, which is responsible for specific mRNA codon recognition, and the 3' end, to which the tRNAs corresponding amino acid is attached (by aminoacyl-tRNA synthetases). tRNAs cope with the degeneracy of the genetic code in two manners: having more than one tRNA (with a specific anti-codon) for a particular amino acid; and 'wobble' base-pairing, i.e. permitting non-standard base-pairing at the 3rd anti-codon position.
Source: RNAcentral